This 110-nucleotide non-coding RNA is filed under the name Bacillus sp. (in: firmicutes). Its description in RNAcentral is "Bacillus sp. SAM-I sequence". It matches the Rfam family "SAM riboswitch aptamer (S box leader)". Rfam says of the family: The SAM riboswitch is found upstream of a number of genes which code for proteins involved in methionine or cysteine biosynthesis in Gram-positive bacteria. The SAM riboswitch acts at the level of transcription termination control. Lineage: Bacteria; Bacillati; Bacillota; Bacilli; Caryophanales; Bacillaceae. The record is from RNAcentral. RNAcentral also lists the same sequence under 1 other name.
CUCUUAUCGAGAGCGGCGGAGGGAAUAGGCCCUGUGAAGCCCGGCAACCAUUAAGUGAAUGCUUAAAAAGGUGCUAAAUCCUGCAGAUCAUGUGAUCUGAAAGAUGAGGG